This 429-nucleotide ribosomal RNA is filed under the name Salmonella enterica. RNAcentral describes it as "partial 23S ribosomal RNA". It matches the Rfam family "Bacterial large subunit ribosomal RNA", at positions 166 to 631 of the family's 2925-position model. RNAcentral also lists the same sequence under 1 other name. Lineage: Bacteria; Pseudomonadati; Pseudomonadota; Gammaproteobacteria; Enterobacterales; Enterobacteriaceae. The record is from RNAcentral.
AUAGGUUAAUGAGGCGAACCGGGGGAACUGAAACAUCUAAGUACCCCGAGGAAAAGAAAUCAACCGAGAUUCCCCCAGUAGCGGCGAGCGAACGGGGAGGAGCCCAGAGCCUGAAUCAGCAUGUGUGUUAGUGGAAGCGUCUGGAAAGGCGCGCGAUACAGGGUGACAGCCCCGUACACAAAAGCGCAUAUGCUGUGAGCUCGAUGAGUAGGGCGGGACACGUGGUAUCCUGUCUGAAUAUGGGGGGACCAUCCUCCAAGGCUAAAUACUCCUGACUGACCGAUAGUGAACCAGUACCGUGAGGGAAAGGCGAAAAGAACCCCGGCGAGGGGAGUGAAACAGAACCUGAAACCGUGUACGUACAAGCAGUGGGAGCACAGGUUUACCUGUGUGACUGCGUACCUUUUGUAUAAUGGGUCAGCGACUUAU